UAUAUGCCUUGAAACCUCAGUUAGGAAAUCCACAACAGAGUGACUUUGUCUCAGCAAGCAGCAUGAGACCUGCAGACCUGGAGAAUCAUCAGAGGAAGAGAGCAGCUUUUGCCUGGCYGAGUCUCAAGUCUUAUUUCCUUCAUCUUAAUGCUGGGAAUAAUGAGAUCCCUCCUGUACCUGUUCUUCCUGAUGAUGAUCAAGUCCUUGAGGAGCUUUAAUAUUGACACUGGCAAGAAGUGGAUCACGCCACAUACAGCCUCUCUGCUGUGGCCCACGGUUCUUCAGCACUCGGAUGGGAACACGACUGUGAUUUUGGCUACUUCCUCAGUAGACAAGGGGCUGGGCAGGCUGAGUAAGUGCACUGUUUUGCAGGAAGAGAUCCAGUGCCAGGAAAUACCUUUGAGAGGUACAGUCCAGUUCCCCCUUCGCAAUCCUUGCUUUGCCAUGGUAUGGGGGGGUGCAG
RNAcentral lists this long non-coding RNA (463 nucleotides) under Dromaius novaehollandiae (emu). Its description in RNAcentral is "lncRNA (ENSDNVG00000002546.1)". Lineage: Eukaryota; Metazoa; Chordata; Aves; Casuariiformes; Dromaiidae. The record is from RNAcentral.